GUGGUAUGAUUGCCAAUGAGACAACUAUCCACAAAAGACCAAAAUGACAUUAACAACUAGGUCACCGUACGGCCUUCAACAAUGAGCAAAGCCUAUAUCGCAUAAUCAGCUUAAAAGGCCCUGAUAAGAAAAUGUAAAGCAAUUCAAACGAGAAAACUAACGGCCUUAUUUAAGUAAAAAAAUUAACGAAUAUAAAUAUGUAACACAUAAACAAACGACAACCACUGAAUUACAGGCUCCUGACUUGGGACAGGCACAUAUUAAAUAAUUUCUAUUCUACACAUGUACCUUAUCAAAUGAUGAGUAAAACAUGCUUGAAACUUUAAAUAAAGCGGCUAUACAUUCUAUCUUGUAAAUGACCUCUUAAUGGCGUGCAAAAUUUACAAUUUUCCCCGUGAACG
RNAcentral lists this long non-coding RNA (401 nucleotides) under Mytilus galloprovincialis (Mediterranean mussel). Lineage: Eukaryota; Metazoa; Mollusca; Bivalvia; Mytilida; Mytilidae. The record is from RNAcentral.